CCUACGGGAGACAGCAGUGAGGAAUAUUGGUCAAUGGACGAGAGUCUGAACCAGCCAAGUAGCGUGAAGGAUGACUGCCCUAUGGGUUGUAAACUUCUUUUAUAAAGGAAUAAAACGAGGCACGUGUGCCUUUUUGCAUGUACUUUAUGAAUAAGGAUCGGCUAACUCCGUGCCAGCAGCCGCGGUAAUACGGAGGAUCCGAGCGUUAUCCGGAUUUAUUGGGUUUAAAGGGAGCGUAGAUGGGUUGUUAAGUCAGUUGUGAAAGUUUGCGGCUCAACCGUAAAAUUGCAAUUGAAACUGGCAGUCUUGAGUACAGUUGAGGUAGGCGGAAUGCGUGGUGUAGCGGUGAAAUGCUUAGAUAUCACGCAGAACCCCGAUUGCGAAGGCAGCAUACUAACCUGUGACUGACAUUGAUGCUCGAAAGUGUGGGUAUCAAACAGGAUUAGAUACCCUUGUAGUC
RNAcentral lists this ribosomal RNA (460 nucleotides) under uncultured bacterium. Its description in RNAcentral is "partial 16S ribosomal RNA". It matches the Rfam family "Bacterial small subunit ribosomal RNA", at positions 338 to 795 of the family's 1533-position model. The record is from RNAcentral.